This 651-nucleotide long non-coding RNA is filed under the name Androctonus crassicauda. The record is from RNAcentral. Lineage: Eukaryota; Metazoa; Arthropoda; Arachnida; Scorpiones; Buthidae.
AAUACUCUGAUGUCAGCGCUGUUGGGCAGACCUUUGGGGUUCUUCACUGGUGGGUCUUUAUUGACCAACUUGGUGGCGCUUUCGGCUAUGCAGCCGUCUUCAGCUGGAAUACAAAUGGAAUCCAUUUGUAUUCCAGCUGAGGAUGGCUGUAUGGCCGAGGGCGCUGCUAAGUUGGUUAGUGGGGACUUGUUGGUGAAGAGCCCCAAAGGUCUGCUCAGUGGUGCUGGCAUCAGAGUAUUAAUUUUGAAGUACCGAAAAGAGCAGUUUCGACAGUUUCCUACAGUUAAAACAUAAAUAUUGCAAAAUGCAUCAAUAAUACGGUGAUAUAAUGUGAAAGCAAAGCAUUGUAUUAAAAAUUAUAUUUUCGUAAUUGUUUUAUAUUAUUGAUUUGAUUAAAUUUAAUUGAAAUCUUCCAAAUCAAUAAUAUAAAACAUAAAUUAAUACUCUGAUGUCGGCACUGUUGAGCAGACCUUUGGGGUUCUUCACUAGUAGGUCUUUAUUAACCAACUUAGUGGCGCUUUCGGCUAUACAGCCGUCUUCGGCUGGAGUGCAAAUGGAAUCUCUGGCGAAGCUUUUACAUAACAUUCCAUGGAGCGUGACAUCUCGAUGUUUUAAAUCAAAAAUUCUUUCGAAUGCAGAAAUGUAUAGGCU